This is a long non-coding RNA of Capsicum annuum, 778 nucleotides long. RefSeq lists it as uncharacterized. The record is from RefSeq and is a predicted model, not a curated record. NCBI's taxonomy places the organism in Eukaryota, Viridiplantae, Streptophyta, Magnoliopsida, Solanales, Solanaceae. The transcript is spliced from 2 exons.
CACCCCAUACCUCCUACCUCUAUACCCCCACGUGGUCCCCACCACUAAUAGAUAUACAUACAAAAAGGGACUGGAAUACAAUUACACACCAUAACCAUAAGCAUACACCACAUUCUGAUACACGUUUCAUCAACACACGGACGCCAAAUACAGAGAGAUCUGAAGAAACACAGGAUUCUUUAUUUCCAUUAUUUUUUCUUCCUUUCUUGGCGUACACACGACACACACAAAUCCUUACUCUCUCAACACACAUAUGGACACACACAUGCAUAGAUUGGAGAUGGGGGAGCUGGACGGAGAUAAAACCAGAUAGAGGGAAAGGUUUGAGCGUGAGAGAGGGAAUCAAAAAGAUCGAUAGGUUUGAGAGAGACAGAGAGCUUAGCGAUUGAGAGAGAACGGCGAGAAGAGGUCUGUUCUAGCGACCAGCUCUUAUCAGAGCUCUGAAAAAUAGCCAAAAUCGAUGACUAACACUGUUGAAACAACAAAAAUCGGUGACCGAACCUGAUCUGUUUCUGCCUGAUUUCGACGAGAUCUGCCGAAAAAUGAGAAAAAAGGGAAUGCCCCGAGGUUUCGUGUAUUUAUUCACCGGGGAAUGCCCCGACGUAUUAUGUCUUCGAAGGAGGCUCGUGAUCAAGGCCCAAGGCAUUGGGUAAAGCAUUGGAGUGUAGUUUAGGAUUAUUUUAGAAUAACGUAGGUUUAUAUUUUUUUGUAUUUUCUUUUUGGACUGGACAUUAUAUUUUGGAUUGUUUUGUCAUGUUUGUGUGAUUGAUUAUUUUUA